UGGGGGAUAUUGCGGCAAUGGGGGGAAACCCGUGACGCAGCAACGCCGCGUGAAGGAUGAAGGUCUUCGGAUUGUAAACUUCUUUUAUUAAGGACGAAGAAUGACGGUACUUAAUGAAUAAGCUCCGGCUAACUACGUGCCAGCAGCCGCGGUAAUACGUAGGGGGCAAGCGUUAUCCGGAUUUACUGGGUGUAAAGGGAGCGCAGGCGGUUCUGCAAGUCUGAUGUGAAAGCCCGGGGCUCAACCCCGGGACUGCAUUGGAAACUGUGGGACUUGAGUGUCGGAGGGGCAAGUGGAAUUCCUAGUGUAGCGGUGAAAUGCGUAGAUAUUAGGAGGACACCAGUGGCGAAGGCGGCUUGCUGGACGACAACUGACGCUGAGGCUCGAAAGCGUGGGGAGCAAACAGGAUUAGAUACCCUGGUAGU
RNAcentral lists this ribosomal RNA (425 nucleotides) under uncultured Lachnospiraceae bacterium. RNAcentral describes it as "bacterial SSU rRNA". It matches the Rfam family "Bacterial small subunit ribosomal RNA", at positions 355 to 794 of the family's 1533-position model. Lineage: Bacteria; Bacillati; Bacillota; Clostridia; Lachnospirales; Lachnospiraceae. The record is from RNAcentral.